Molecule: non-coding RNA, 2205 nt
Organism: Oryctolagus cuniculus (rabbit)
Lineage: Eukaryota; Metazoa; Chordata; Mammalia; Lagomorpha; Leporidae
Source: RefSeq, a predicted model, not a curated record
CACCCCCCCCCCCACUCACUUAGGAAACGCAGAGGGGGUCACUACCUUCAUCAAGGGACAGUUACUGUCAUAGCGAAUGCUGCCCUCUCCCACUCUUCAGAUCUUUCCCCCGCCCUGAGGGAACCCCAACUUUUUUGCGCAUGCGUGCAGCUAAACCAGCGACGGGCAUUUUCUCCACAAAGUAGCAAGACGCGCGAGAAAGUCCUGGUGGCUGCCAUCGACGUGUCCCCAGCUCUGCAGAUCAGCAAGAGCCUGGCGGCAGAGGCGGCCCAAAGGUACCCCCGUUUCUUGGUGACACACCCGGGCCAGGCGCGCUAAGGCUGUGAGAACCACCUGCUGUUCGGUGCUGGGAACAGGCUCUGUGCUGAGCUGGUGAAGAAACACAGAUCCAGCGAGCGCAGGGCCACACAGCUACAGAGCGGGUGUGCCCCCAGGUCUCCCUGAGUCCUCAGCACCUUCCCGUGUCCUGGUGUGUGCCAGGGUGGACGCGAGACCCUGGGCAGGUCCCUUCCCCUGCUCUGCAAAUUCCCCAUCUGUGAACUCCAUGGAUGGCGGCGCCGCCUGCUGCAGGGCCAGGCGGGUCUCCUGGAACCGUCUGCCCUGGCGGUCCUCCGCCCGCCUUUUUUAGGGCACUGUGCCAGGGGCAAGGGGCGACACAAACCCUGGCCUCCCGGGGUCCCUUUGGGGACAGAGCAGUAGCCUUGGCAAGAGAGAGUGACAGGCCCGGGAGGGCGGGUCUGGGCUGGCAGGGUGCUGGAGCUGGCUCCACAGAGCAAGGGAGUGAGUCACCAGCUUCUCGCACAGCCGACACCCCGGCAGGAGGGCGAGGUUUGUUGAAUGAAUGUUCUGUAGGUUGCAAAGAGGCUGGCAGCCCUGAAGGCCAUCCCCGGCCAGGGCCCCUCCGACCAAAUCCGCUAGGAGGGGACGGGAGGGGAGGGGAGGGAAGGGGAGGGGAAGGGAGGGCGGGCCGAGGGACGCGAUUCUCCUCUGCAGCUCUCCCCGCCCAGCCCGGGCCCCUCUGGGCAUCGCAGCCCCUGGGCGGGGGUCUCGCUCUCUGCCCGGUCUGUCCCUCGCUGGACAGCUCCCCGCGGGCGGGAUCCGCCUCCCGCCCUCGCGACGGACCGGCCCCCUCCCCGAGGCCGCGCCCGGCUCUCCAGUGCCGCGGGGUUCAGACCCCCGAGGAGCCAGGCGGGGCCUGGGAGAAGCCGAGGCGGGCGCGACCCCUCCCGAGCCCCGCUGCCCGCAGCCGCGCCCCGCAAGGCGAGCCGCGCCGAGGACAGCGGACAGAGACGGGAGCAAGACGGACAGGCCGAGCGACAGCGGACGAGACUGCGACGAGGCGCGGACAGCCCCUCAGACCCGGGCGGCCAGCAGGGAGACGGGGCGGCCUGGGUGUGGCCCGGCCGACCGGGAGGCACUCACAUUCGCCGCCAUGCUGGGGCCCGAGUCGCGGCCGCCCACUCGCUCUGGUCCGGAGGACGAUCGGAGUGCAGAGUCUCGCGGCCUCUUCGCUGCCCUACCGCCGAGCAACUCCGCGUGGAGCCCGGGAUCAGGAGCAACUUGCUACGCAGUCCCCGCCCCGAGGGAACCCCAACUUUUUUGCGCAUGCGCGCAGCUAAACCAGCGGCGGGCAUUUUCUCCACAAAGUAGCAAUAUGCCCGAGAUUCACUGGCACGCCUGCGCGCCGCAAAGAGUUCCUGGGAAAUGUAGUUCCCACCUUCUGGAGGGCAGCCAAGGGGCCCCCUCAGGCUCUUGGGAAAUGUAGUUUCUGGCUGAGGAGAGCCGGGCUGGCGCUGCGAGGGCGCGGAGGCAGGCGCGCGGCGGGCAGGCCUGGAGGGGGCGGGUCUGCGCGGGCCUCACAGCCGUCUGUCUUCCCUGCCUGAGUAGAGGGAGGUCACGGCGUGACCGUCGCCACCGCCGCCGGUGCGAGGUCGAGUCGCCGGGCCGCAGCCAUGGCCUACUGCCGGCAGGAAGGAAAGGAUCGAAUCAUAUUUGUGACCAAAGAAGAUCAUGAGACGCCAAGCAAUGCGGAGCUGGUGGCUGAUGACCCCAACGAUCCCUAUGAGGAGCACGGGAAUACUUCAGCCACCCUCACUCUCCUGGAAGCCAUUCUGUUCCUAGCUGACAGCUGUCAAUCAUGAUUGGAUACUGUAUCUCACUGCUGGGCUCCCACAGGACUUGGACAAUAAAAUUUUCAUGUGAAAA